CCAAUAGCGUAUAUUUAAGUUGCUGCGGUUAAAAAGCUCGUAGUCGGAUUUCGGGUGGCGCCUACCGGUCCGCCUUUGGUGAGUACUGGUAGGUGCCACCUUUCUGCCGAGGACGGGGUACUGGGCUUAGUUGUCUGGGCCCCGGAGUCGGCGAUGUCACUUUGAGUAAAUUAGGGUGUUCAAAGCAGGCUUAUGCUCUGUAUACGCUAGCAUGGGAUGACACGAUAGGACUUCGGUUUAUCUUGUCGGUCUGUGGAUCGGAGUAAUGAUUAAGAGGGACAGUCGGGGGCAUUCGUAUUUCGUAGUCAGAGGUGAAAUUCUUGGAUUUACGGAAGACGAACUUCUGCGAAAGCAUUUGCCAAGGAUGUUUUCAUUGAUCAAGAACGAAAGUCGGGGGCUCGAAGACGAUUAGAUACCGUCGUAGUCUCGACCAUAAACGAUGCCGACUAGGGAUCGGAGGUGGUUUUUUUAUGACCUCUCCGGCACCUUACGAGAAAUCAAAGUUUCUGGGUUCCGGGGGGAGUAUGGUCGCAAGGCUGAAACUUAAAGGAAUUGACGGAAGGGCACCACCAGGCGUGGAGCCUGCGGCUUAAUUUGACUCAACACGGGGAAACUUACCAGGUCCAGACAUGGGUAGGAUUGACAGANUGAUAGCUCUUUCUUGAUUCUAUGGGUGGUG
RNAcentral lists this ribosomal RNA (679 nucleotides) under Trentepohlia arborum. RNAcentral's name for it is "SSU rRNA". It matches the Rfam family "Eukaryotic small subunit ribosomal RNA", at positions 591 to 1279 of the family's 1831-position model. Lineage: Eukaryota; Viridiplantae; Chlorophyta; Ulvophyceae; Trentepohliales; Trentepohliaceae. The record is from RNAcentral.